Molecule: ribosomal RNA, 483 nt
Filed under: uncultured bacterium
Lineage: Bacteria
Description: partial 16S ribosomal RNA
Rfam family: Bacterial small subunit ribosomal RNA
Source: RNAcentral
GAUGAACGCUGGCGGCGUGCCUAAUACAUGCAAGUCGAGAGAACCACUUCGGUGGUGAGCGGCGAACGGGUGAGUAACACGUAGGUGAUCUGCCCAUCAGACGGGGACAACGAUUGGAAACGAUCGCUAAUACCGGAUAGGACGAAAGUUUAAAGGUGCUUCUGGCACCGCUGAUGGAUGAGCCUGCGGCGCAUUAGCUAGUUGGUAGGGUAAAGGCCUACCAAGGCAACGAUGCGUAGCCGACCUGAGAGGGUGAACGGCCACACUGGGACUGAGACACGGCCCAGACUCCUACGGGAGGCAGCAGUAGGGAAUCUUCGGCAAUGGGCGAAAGCCUGAGCGAGCAACGCCGCGUGAAUGAUGAAGGCCUUCGGGUUGUAAAAUUCUGUUAUAAGGGAAGAACGACUUUAGCAGGAAAUGGCUAGAGUGUGACGGUACCUUAUGAGAAAGCCACGGCUAACUACGUGCCAGCCGCCGCAGUAA